This 464-nucleotide ribosomal RNA is filed under the name uncultured bacterium. Its description in RNAcentral is "partial 16S ribosomal RNA". It matches the Rfam family "Bacterial small subunit ribosomal RNA", at positions 28 to 507 of the family's 1533-position model. The record is from RNAcentral.
GACGAACGCUGGCGGCGUGCUUAACACAUGCAAGUCGAACGGUAAGGCCCUUUCGGGGGUACACGAGUGGCGAACGGGUGAGUAACACGUGGGUGAUCUGCCCUGCACUUUGGGAUAAGCCUGGGAAACUGGGUCUAAUACCGGAUAGGACUACGCGAUGCAUGUCGUGUGGUGGAAAGCUUUUGCGGUGUGGGAUGGGCCCGCGGCCUAUCAGCUUGUUGGUGGGGUGAUGGCCUACCAAGGCGACGACGGGUAGCCGGCCUGAGAGGGUGUCCGGCCAGACUGGGACUGAGAUACGGCCCCGACUCCUACGGGAGGGAGCAGUGGGGAAUAUUGCAAAAUGGGCGCAAGCCUGAUGCAGCGACGCCGCGUGGGGGAUGACGGCCUUCGGGUUGUAAACCCCUUUCAGCACAGACGAAGCGUAAGUGACGGUAUGUGCAGAAGAAGCACCGGCCAACUACGUG